This is a long non-coding RNA of Myzus persicae (green peach aphid), 842 nucleotides long. RefSeq lists it as uncharacterized. The transcript is spliced from 3 exons. NCBI's taxonomy places the organism in Eukaryota, Metazoa, Arthropoda, Insecta, Hemiptera, Aphididae. The record is from RefSeq and is a predicted model, not a curated record.
UUUAAUUGCAUAUUAUGUAUAGGUGUUAUAAAAUGUUAUUUGUUUAUCUUUACCACGUAUUUUACAGUUGUACUAGGUACUCACAUCGUCCAGACCUUCAGUGAUCAGAGCAUCCAAAACAUCUGUUAACUCCAUUGCGAGUCAUUUGACAAGGGUUAAUCUAUUUAAAAAUAUCCGUGGAAACAAUGUCAACAGUCACUGAACCCAAGCUUACGAAUCUUUUUGGAUAAAACAAUAAGCAUUAUUCAUCUCAACAAUAAUUCAUCUCAUAACCUUCAGAGAUAUGAGCCAUGUGAUGUAACAUUGUAUCUGCAACGUUACACAUGAGGUAACUACUGAAUGUAUCUUGUAAGAUUCUACAUUAUAUACGAGAGGCGACAGAGCAUCGUAUAAUAUUGGAUAGGUACAUCAGACAUCAGACAUUAAAAAAAACAAUAUUUGAACGUUGUUUCAUAACGUUUUAUUGAAUUCAAUUUAUAAUGAAAGAUGAUGAAAUAAAUGGCACUACAAAUUUCAGCUGGUUUUCGCGUACACUCAAUAGCUUAUAACUUCGUCAAAUUGUGGGGCUUUUUUUUCGUUAAGGCAAUCAACUCAAAAUCACCGCAGAAAUGGCUGACCAUAUCUCCAGUAUAUUCAUCUGCAAAAUAAAUUGGUAUUCGAUUUGAUUUUUGCAUUAGAUUACUUUCCCACUAACUCGUAGAACACGAUUUUAUACGUAUAUAAUGAAAAGCAAUUUUUUUCAAGGCAAAACGAUUUAAUUGUAAUUAUUUUAAGUGUAGAAAUUUUGGAUUUUAGUAUUCCUUUUCAUUAAAUUACAUAUAUUAAAACAUGGUUACUUUAUA